AAUGAGAUUGAAGCUGGAAUGAAGACCAGUGUGUUACAGCUUUUCAUUUUUCAUCGACAAACAGGACUUCCAUUUGUGGCUGGGUGAUCCAAAGUACCAUGGCUGCACAAUCUGAAGCAGCCUGCCAGACUGAUGUCCCUACCAUGAUGCAACAGGAGGCACAGGUACCCACCCCCUCAGCUGCAACAGAUUCCCCACAACAAGCUGGAGCCAUCAGAAAGAUUGGCACAGUCAGCGGUAACCACUGCCCUACCAUUGUUGGUGCAAGUACAGUUAACUUCACUUAUGGACAAGGAGUACCUCCACAGAGUCAGAGACCAGACCAA
Molecule: long non-coding RNA, 326 nt
Organism: Patiria miniata (bat star)
Lineage: Eukaryota; Metazoa; Echinodermata; Asteroidea; Valvatida; Asterinidae
Exons: 3
Source: RefSeq, a predicted model, not a curated record